Molecule: ribosomal RNA, 406 nt
Filed under: uncultured bacterium
Lineage: Bacteria
Description: partial 16S ribosomal RNA
Rfam family: Bacterial small subunit ribosomal RNA
Source: RNAcentral
AUUGAACGCUGGCGGCAGGCCUAACACAUGCAAGUCGAACGAGUGGCGGACGGGUGAGUAAUGUCUGGGAAACUGCCUGAUGGAGGGGGAUAACUACUGGAAACGGUAGCUAAUACCGCAUACCAUCGGAUGUGCCCAGAUGGGAUUAGCUAGUGGGUGGGGUAACGGCUCACCAAGGCGAAGAUCCCUAGCUGGUCUGAGAGGAUGACCAGCCACACUGGAACUGAGACACGGGCCAGACUCCUACGGGAGGCAGCAGUGGGGAAUAUUGCACAAUGGGCGCAAGCCUGAUACAGCCAUGCCGCGUGUAUGAAGAAGGCCUUCGGGUUGUAAAGUACUGUCAGCGGGGAGGCGUUACCCGCAGAAGAAGCACCGGCUAACUCCGUGCCAGCAGCCGCGGUAAUAC